Onychomys torridus (southern grasshopper mouse) is the source of this 93-nucleotide small nucleolar RNA. NCBI's taxonomy places the organism in Eukaryota, Metazoa, Chordata, Mammalia, Rodentia, Cricetidae. The record is from RefSeq and is a predicted model, not a curated record.
UAACCCCCAUGAUGUACAGCACUGGGCCUCUGACCAGCCUGAUGGCAUGUUGCAUGACCUCGGGACCUUUGAUUCCAGGGUUCUGGGGGGUUU